This 476-nucleotide unclassified non-coding RNA is filed under the name Hevea brasiliensis (rubber tree). The record is from RNAcentral. Lineage: Eukaryota; Viridiplantae; Streptophyta; Magnoliopsida; Malpighiales; Euphorbiaceae.
AAAAACACCCCAUCUGCCACCUUCUCCUUCUAUCUUCUUCUCCAAAAGCAAAAGGAAAAAAUUAUAUAUAUAACACCCCAUUGAGAGGAGAGAGAAACCCAAUCUUAGAGAGAGAAAAAACCUCCAUAGUUGCACAAUACAGUUCUAAGCAAAACUCAGCAAAGAAGAAGUAGAAGAAAAUGGAGGGGAAAGAAGAGGACGUGAAACUAGGAGCAAACAAGUUCUCAGAAAGGCAGCCAAUCGGCACAUCGGCGCAGACGGACAAGGACUAUAAAGAGCCACCGCCGGCGCCGCUGUACGAGCCCGGCGAACUGACUUCAUGGUCAUUUUACAGAGCCGGAAUCGCGGAGUUUGUGGCCACUUUCUUGUUCCUCUACAUCACCAUCUUGACAGUGAUGGGAGUCAGCCGAGCUCCGUCGAAAUGCUCCACCGUUGGCAUUCAGGGUAUCGCUUGGGCCUUCGGCGGCAUGAUCUUC